UAGUGCUCUCUAUAUAAAACAGUUCACCUUGAUUGGUGCCUCGUUAAGCCAUGUCAUUGGAGGUUGUGAUUGACUAGGGAUAGAUUGUUGGUCAAUUAGCCUUCCUAACGCUCCUACUGUGUAGUAACCAUCUGAAUCCAGUCUUCUCUUCCAUUGGUCACACCCGUUAACCAAAUUAACCGUGGACAAGUCGUGGUAUAGAUUAACCAAAUCGUUGGAUAGGCCACAUUAUGAGGGACAAGAAUUCCGAUGACAUGCAAAGCUUCCAUCAAUGGAAGCCCAUGUGUUGUGGGACAAAAAGGGAGCAUUGAUAAAGUACGUUUUCGAUGGAAGCUUGCACAUGCAUAAAAAGACAGGUACAUCCCCGAAGCUGCUGAUGAAGAUGGCUUAAGUACCUUGCUGCACUUUAUAUAUUUUGCUUGUAUUACUUUGAUACUAUGUAAUGUAA
This is a long non-coding RNA of Lactuca sativa (garden lettuce), 448 nucleotides long. RefSeq lists it as uncharacterized. The record is from RefSeq and is a predicted model, not a curated record. Lineage: Eukaryota; Viridiplantae; Streptophyta; Magnoliopsida; Asterales; Asteraceae.